This 70-nucleotide ribosomal RNA is filed under the name Dendrobium loddigesii. RNAcentral's name for it is "partial 26S ribosomal RNA". Lineage: Eukaryota; Viridiplantae; Streptophyta; Magnoliopsida; Asparagales; Orchidaceae. The record is from RNAcentral.
GACCCCAGGAUGGGCGAGGCCACCCGCCGAGUUUAAGCAUAUCAAUAAGCGGAGGACGAAAAAUCUUCCA